UACGUAGGAUGCAAGCGUUAUCCGGAUUUACUGGGUGUAAAGGGAGCGCAGGCGGGACUGCAAGUUGGAUGUGAAAUACCGUGGCUUAACCACGGAACUGCAUCCAAAACUGUAGUACUUGAGUGAAGUAGAGGCAAGCGGAGUUCCGAGUGUAGCGGUGAAAUGCGUAGAUAUUCGGAGGAACACCAGUGGCGAAGGCGGCUUGCUGGGCUUUAACUGACGCUGGGGCUCGAAAGUGUGGGGAGCAAACAGGAUUAGAUACCCUGGUAGUCCACACUGUAAACGAUGAUAGCUAGGUGUGGGGGGUCUGACCCCUUCCGUGCCGGAGUUAACGCAAUAAGCUAUCCACCUGGGGAGUACGACCGCAAGGUUGAA
This 375-nucleotide ribosomal RNA is filed under the name uncultured bacterium. RNAcentral's name for it is "bacterial SSU rRNA". It matches the Rfam family "Bacterial small subunit ribosomal RNA", at positions 524 to 898 of the family's 1533-position model. The record is from RNAcentral.